GGCGUAUUUUGGUAACGGUUUAAGGAUGGGGUUCCCGAAAUUUGUGACCUAAUCAGCAUCCAAGUAGGGGUCCGGCCUUUCGGGAUUCCCUAUAUUUACGGCAUUGCCACUAGCGAAACUUAUAAAUCUCAAUCUAGUGACUCUUGGUCUUUUGUCUUGGCCGCUGUCGCUUUCUUCCGCCGCCGCCUUCUUGCCUUCCUGAUCCGGUCUGUGAAAUCGCGAGCUUCUUUCGCAUCUGCAGCCCCUGAGCAUCAGAGACUCUCAAGAAGGUCAAGAUGGAGAAGCCCACAGACUCCAGCAAGGGGGAGAAAAGGAAACACGAGAGGUAGUCAGCAGAGAAUACGCCAUGCAUGGCCACAAAGUAAGUGCUCUUCCGAAGAUUUGGAAAUCAUGGAACAAAGAUUAUUUUUGCGGUUAGAGGAGGAAUGCCCCUGGCGGAGCGCCGAGGGCGAGGAUUUUCCAGCCCCCAAAGAUUCUGAGGUCAUUUUGUUUGCCUCUUUUCUUGAGUACGGGCAUUCAAUGCCUGUGAGUAGUUUUAUGGAGGGGAUUCUUUAUUACUAUAAGAUCCAACUCCAUAAAUUUACUUCGCAGUCUGUGCCACACAUAUCUGUGUUUGUGCACCUCUGCGGGGCUUUCCUUGGUAUUGAGCCUCAUUUCGAGUUCUUCCGCACCCUGUACAAACUCGUGACUUUCCCCUUUUCUGAGAGGAUGGGUAGAGUGGGGUGCGCUCAUUUGGAACUUCAAGAGAAAGUAGUUGGGAAGUACCUAGUUUGGCCCAUGAUUGCGUUGAGCCCCCGAUGGCCCAACGACUGGUUUUAUAUUAGAAAUCCUUCCACUGGUCUUCCUCGAUUUAGCGCUGACCCAGCUGAGUGGUUGAGGGGCUGGUAUAUUGGAUCCAUUACUGAGCGUCCUGUGCAAGUUUCUGAAUCGUAGGAGCGCACUGUCUGCUUCCGAAAGAUGGGUGUGACGGCUGCUUCCGUUGUUCUAAACUAUACACAACGCUAGAUUCAGCCACUGCAGAGGCAUGUGCAUUUUGGUUUCCAGGACCGAGGGACUGAAGAUGUUGAUCGGUUAUCUGCAAAGUCGAUUGACCGUGAAGCUGGGCUCAGGGUCUUCCAAAGCAUAUUUCUAGAUCAGCUCACUGUUCCUUACGUGCCCACAGUUUUUUAGGCUUCUAAUCCUCAUGCGGGGGUAAGAUUGCUUUCACCUCACGACUACUUUUUGUAUGAUUGAUUGUUUCAUUCAGGUAACUCUUUAUUCUUAUACUUGUUCCCCAUAGGCCGAUGUGAGUGUGUUCAAGAGUGAUCCCCUGCUUCCUGGCUCUCUGGGCAAGAAGGGCCAGAAUGAUUUUCACGAUUACCCGCUUGGCGAAGUGAACUGUCUGAGUACUUUGGGCCGUACUUCAGUCCCGGCAUCAACAGAUGCUGCUACUACAAGGCCAGUCGCCCCUACUACCAGCUCUGGGUUGUCGUGGAGGGGGUUGAAAGUUCCCAAGAUACUAGUCGUGAAGAGGGCAAGUAUGUGAGUAUCUUACUCGCUUGGUCUUGUAGUUAGUCAUUAUGACCUUGCUUUUUCUAACCUUUUGGCUGCUUUGUAGAGGUGCUACCAACUUGAACUUGCCGGCGCGGCGAGCGAGAGGUUCCACGUCGACUACUUCUAUGGGAGGUCGGGCGGACGACUCGGCUACUGCGUCAUCCGGGAUGGUUAUUGGAGCGAAAGCUCGGACUGCUGUUCCUUCUCCUGGUCCAACCGAUUCAGGUCAGGAGGAGGCGAUAGAUGAAGUGAAUGCGCUGGGGAUGGGGCCUUCCACCGAUCCAGUCUUAGGUGUGGCUGGAUCGGACUCUAUUGAGGUAGAGGCCAUGGACUCGUUCCAUUAUCCACCCUCUGGUUUUCCAAAAGCACCGGACUUGUGGACAGAGGAUGUGGACCUCGAAGCCCCCAAGGUGGUUGCUCCCGGAGGUGCCUGCUGCCGGCGAAGCCGAUUGCGAAGCCGGCAGGAAAUGAAGCUCCAGGGGUAGUCCCUCUGGAGAUGUCUAAUGAGGUACCAGAUGGACUCAUUAAUGACGAUCUUCUAGAGGAAUGCCUCUUGAAGGAGAUGCAGAACUCGCUGGAGUGAAUUUAUAACCAUCAUAAGAAACUAGCUCGGAGGUCUCAGAUUAAGUCGUCCGCUCUAGCUAUCAAGUCGGAGCGACUCCAACAGUUUCUAGUUCUCAAGCGGGAGUUCGAGGAGAAGGACGAUCUGAUUGCUGCACUCGCGAAGCAGUUGGCUGCCAGUCACGAGAGCGUGACUGGUUCCACCAGCCGCCAUGAUGAAGUUGCUCAGCUGAAGAGGGAGAGAAAUUAGGCCCUUCAAGAUUGUGCACAACUCUGUGGUUUUAAUGCCAAUCUUGAAGGGUAUAAGAAGACUGUGGAGUAGCAGCUGGAGCAGGCUAACCAGAAGAUCGCUGACCAACUCCAGACCAUCCAGAAGCUUAACCGGAACAAAGAUCGUAGGGACAAAAUUUUUGACCUGGAGGAGGGCGCCGUUGUCACACCCGGUUUUAAGGACAAAAUCAAAUGCAUAGCUAUAUGUAUGCCAGGAUCAAGUUUCGUACAUAUAGAGACAUUAUAAGUAAAUAAUCAGUAACAGUAUCAUGAAAAAGAGAAUUAAAACAAUUAUAGACUACCCGAGUUAUACAGCUUAUCCUGUAAACGAAGGCUUCAAACUACACAAGCAAUUGACUAGGGGUUGCGUACGCCUAGAACACGGCAUCAUCUUCGAAAGACUUCAUAGCAACUUUCUCUUCUUAGCAGCAAUGAGCAAGGGUGAGUACACUUAUGGUUGGUACUCAGCAAGGUAUUGG
This is a long non-coding RNA of Panicum virgatum (switchgrass), 2843 nucleotides long. RefSeq lists it as uncharacterized. The record is from RefSeq and is a predicted model, not a curated record. NCBI's taxonomy places the organism in Eukaryota, Viridiplantae, Streptophyta, Magnoliopsida, Poales, Poaceae. The transcript has 3 exons.